Musa acuminata AAA Group (dessert banana) is the source of this 802-nucleotide long non-coding RNA. RefSeq lists it as uncharacterized. The transcript has 2 exons. The record is from RefSeq and is a predicted model, not a curated record. Lineage: Eukaryota; Viridiplantae; Streptophyta; Magnoliopsida; Zingiberales; Musaceae.
GAAAUGUAAACCUAGGAAUUAAUCACAGUAUUGGUGGACUUCUAGAAGUAUGCUUCUUUUUGCGAGCGAGACUUGGCUGAUCGUGACCGGCAACCGGUGACUCUCUCCCUCUUUCUAGUUGUCACGUCGUUGCCGACGGGUCGAGUUCUUUCUGCCCGCACGUUUCCCACGCCGCCCCCCCGACCACCUUCUCCCCUUCCUACCUCCACUUCGCGUCUUCAACACACCUCUCACGAAAGAUUUAGCUUACCUCUGCCUGUUUCCUUCCUUCUCUAUCCUUUGCGGGUGCAUGGAUUGGAUUCCGGAGGAGGAUGAAUCCUCUGAAGGAAUCUCGGAGGGAAGUGGAGACUCCGACGCCGAUGCGAUCGCGAUGGCGCCUUCAGAAACCAUGGCGUACGACAGCGACGACGCGGAGUCCUGCUGCGGCGACGGUGACGAUGAAGGCGGUGCUGCCGUAGGUAAAGGCGAGGUGGAAGAAAGGUGCGUGUCGUGGAGAUGCUGGCUGGUGGAGCGCGCGCCCGAGUACGAGGUGGGGAAGGUGGACGACCGACGAGGAGCGAACGAGCCGGCUGCGGCGGCGUCGGACGCGGAGAGCGCUAGGCUGUUCUGGGAGGCCUGCCUUGCCCAUGGCUACCCAUGACUCCUGAGUUCCCGACGUCUCUCUCUCUCUACUCACCAUGACCCCCUGUCUUAUUCGUUCUCUUUGUUCUUUCAUCAUUGAGAUUCUUUGUCAAAGCAAAAGGAAGAAGAAAACACAUUUCUGCAACUCUGCCUCUCAAUUCUGCAACAGUCUUGUGUUUUA